GACGAACGCUGGCGGCGUGCUUAACACAUGCAAGUCGAACGGAAGGGCCCUGCUUUUGUGGGUGGCUCGAGUGGCGAACGGGUGGGUAACACGUGAGUAACCUGCCCUUGCCUUUGGGAUAACUUCAGGAAACUGGGGCUAAUACCGGAUAGGAGCUCCUGCUGCAUGGUGGGGGUUGGAAAGUUUCGGCGGUUGGGGAUGGACUCGCGGCUUGUCAGCUUGUUGGUGGGGUAGUGGCUUACCAAGGCUUUGACGGGUAGCCGGCCUGAGAGGGUGACCGGCCACAUUGGGACUGAGAUACGGCCCAGACUCCUACGGGAGGCAGCAGUGGGGAAUAUUGCACAAUGGGCGGAAGCCUGAUGCAGCAACGCCGCGUGCGGGAUGACGGCCUUCGGGUUGUAAACCGCUUUCGCCUGUGACGAAGCGUGAGUGACGGUAAUGGGUAAAGAAGCACCGGCUAACUACGUG
RNAcentral lists this ribosomal RNA (468 nucleotides) under uncultured bacterium. RNAcentral describes it as "partial 16S ribosomal RNA". It matches the Rfam family "Bacterial small subunit ribosomal RNA", at positions 28 to 507 of the family's 1533-position model. The record is from RNAcentral.